UCACACCUGUAAUCCCAGCACUUUGGGAGGCCGAAGCAGGCGGAUCACAAGGUCAGGAGUUCGAGACCAGCCUGACCAACAUGGUGAAACCCAGUCUCUACUAAAAAUACAAAAUUAGCUGGAUGUGGUGGCGGGCGCCUGUAAUCCCAGCUACUCAGGAGGCUGAGGCAGGAGAACUGCUUGAACCCAGGAGGCGGAGAUUGCAGUGAGCCGAGAUUACGCCACUGCACUCCAGCCUGGGCGACAGAGCGAGACUCCGUCUCAAAAAAAAGAAAAAGAAAAAAGAAAUUGCUCUCUCUGGUGAGCCUGACUUUUGAAGCAGACAAUGCAGAUGCUGGCAGAGCGAUCGGCUGCAAUGAUUGCAGCCAGGUUGAGCCAUUCAAACAAAAGCCCGGGACACCCCAGUGAUACUAAAAGCUAAGACCUGCAGCCCGGUGAGAGGCUGGAGAAGAGCAUAGCUAGACGUUUCCUUGGUGCACGCCUGAGUCUCUCUAAUUUAAGGUGUGGAAACCAAAUUUGCUACAUGAUGAUUUUUGAGUAACUCUUCACCUGUAAGCACCUAGCUGAAGCAUGAGGGUUCCUACACGAGGGGAAUCUCACUGUUGAGACCAGUCUCUAUGCCCAAGUGGUAAUUCACAAUCCAACAGAUACACAGAAUGUGGCUCUGUAUCUCCCUGGCACAUAAGAAUGAGUUGGAUGUGACGGAGCCUGAGA
Molecule: long non-coding RNA, 714 nt
Filed under: Homo sapiens (human)
Lineage: Eukaryota; Metazoa; Chordata; Mammalia; Primates; Hominidae
Description: HSALNT0272759
Source: RNAcentral